CUCCCGCCGGCGACCGGCGCACGGGUGAGUAACACGUAUGAAACCUGCCCGUAGCAGGGGGAUAACCCGGAGAAAUCCGGACUAAUACCGCGUGGUACACCAGUGGGGCAUCCCACUGGUGUUAAAAGGAAGUGAUUCCGGCGGAGGAUGGGCAUGCGGCGCAUUAGCUUGUUGGCGGGGUAACGGCCCACCAAGGCAACGAUGCGUAGGGGUUCUGAGAGGAAGGUCCCCCACACUGGUACUGAGACACGGACCAGACUCCUACGGGAGGCAGCAG
This 277-nucleotide ribosomal RNA is filed under the name uncultured bacterium. RNAcentral describes it as "partial 16S ribosomal RNA". It matches the Rfam family "Bacterial small subunit ribosomal RNA", at positions 82 to 354 of the family's 1533-position model. The record is from RNAcentral.